CAAGCACCUCGGUAGGUGAGGCGUCUGCACGGAUACAGGCCACUGACCCCGAACGUCGAGAGACGCCCCGGGUCAGGACAGCUCUUCCCGGACCCAAGGGUUGAGCCCAAGUGGCUUCCGGAACGAGGAGCGAUCGCAAGCGCGGCGCAGCCGGGCGAAGCGGGUCGCGACCGUCGGUUAGUUCCGGAUACGCCGUGCAGUGCCGAAGCUCCGACGAGAGGGGUGCGAU
RNAcentral lists this small RNA (229 nucleotides) under Mycobacterium heidelbergense. Its description in RNAcentral is "Magnesium sequence". It matches the Rfam family "M-box riboswitch aptamer (ykoK leader)". Rfam says of the family: M-box riboswitch, also know as ykoK leader is described as a metaloregulatory RNA that sense divalent metals and function as a genetic control element of genes related to divalent metal transport in bacteria. It was first reported upstream of the B.subtilis ykoK gene and genes with related functions in other bacteria. The record is from Rfam by way of RNAcentral. Lineage: Bacteria; Bacillati; Actinomycetota; Actinomycetes; Mycobacteriales; Mycobacteriaceae.